This 426-nucleotide ribosomal RNA is filed under the name uncultured prokaryote. RNAcentral's name for it is "bacterial SSU rRNA". It matches the Rfam family "Bacterial small subunit ribosomal RNA", at positions 355 to 774 of the family's 1533-position model. The record is from RNAcentral.
UUUCGAAUCAUUCACAAUGGGCGCAAGCCUGAUGGUGCGACGCCGCGUGAGGGAUGAAGGUCUUCGGAUUGUAAACCUCUGUCACCGGGGAAGAAACGUCUUGAGCUAACAGCUCUAGGCCUGACUUAACCCGGAGAGGAAGCAGUGGCUAACUCUGUGCCAACAGCCGCGGUAAUACAGAGACUGCAAGCGUUAUUCGGAUUCACUGGGCGUAAAGGGUGCGCAGGUGGCUGUGUGUGUGAAGUGUGAAAGCCCGGGGCUUAACUCCGGAAUUGCACCUCAAACUACAUGGCUAGAGCAUUGGAGAGGGUAGCAGAAUUCACGGUGUAGCAGUGAAAUGCGUAGAUAUCGUGAGGAAUACCAGAGGCGAAGGCGGCUACCUGGACAAUUGCCGACACUCAAGCACGAAAGCGUGGGGAGCAAAAG